Molecule: ribosomal RNA, 497 nt
Filed under: uncultured bacterium
Lineage: Bacteria
Description: partial 16S ribosomal RNA
Rfam family: Bacterial small subunit ribosomal RNA
Source: RNAcentral
GAUGAACGCUGGCGGCGUGCCUAAUACAUGCAAGUCGAGCGAACAGACGAGGAGCUUGCUCCUCUGACGUUAGCGGCGGACGGGUGAGUAACACGUGGAUAACCUACCUAUAAGACUGGGAUAACUUCGGGAAACCGGAGCUAAUACCGGAUAAUAUAUUGAACCGCGUGGUUCAAUAGUGAAAGACGGUUUUGCUGUCACUUAUAGAUGGAUCCGCGCCGCAUUAGCUAGUUGGUAAGGUAACGGCUUACCAAGGCAACGAUGCGUAGCCGACCUGAGAGGGUGAUCGGCCACACUGGAACGGAGACACGGUCCAGACUCCUACGGGAGGCAGCAGUAGGGAAUCUGCCGCAAUGGGCGAAAGCCUGACGGGGCAACGCCGCGUGAGUGAUGAAGGUCUUCGGAUCGUAAAACUCUGUUAUUAGGGAAGAACAAAUGUGUAAGUAACUAUGCACGUCUUGACGGUACCUAAUCAGAAAGCCACGGCUAACUACGUG